AGUGAACGCUGGCGGUAGGCCUAACACACGCAAGUCGAACGGCAGCACAGUAAGAGCUUGCUCUUACGGGUGGCGAGUGGCGGACGGGUGAGGAAUACAUCGGAAUCUACUUUUUCGUGGGGGAUAACGUAGGGAAACUUACGCUAAUACCGCAUACGACCUACGGGUGAAAGCAGGGGAUCUUCGGACCUUGCGCGAUUGAAUGAGCCGAUGUCGGAUUAGCUAGUUGGCGGGGUAAAGGCCCACCAAGGCGACGAUCCGUAGCUGGUCUGAGAGGAUGAUCAGCCACACUGGAACUGAGACACGGUCCAGACUCCUACGGGAGGCAGCAGUGGGGAAUAUUGGACAAUGGGCGCAGGCCUGAUCCAGCCAUACCGCGUGGGUGAAGAAGGCCUUCGGGUUGUAAAGCCCUUUUGUUGGGAAAGAAAAGCAGCAGGUUAAUACCCCGCUGUUCUGACGGUACCCAAAGAAUAAGCACCGGCUAACUUCGUG
This 492-nucleotide ribosomal RNA is filed under the name uncultured bacterium. Its description in RNAcentral is "partial 16S ribosomal RNA". It matches the Rfam family "Bacterial small subunit ribosomal RNA", at positions 29 to 507 of the family's 1533-position model. The record is from RNAcentral.